UCAGUUUACCUGAGAAGCUCAAGUGUUUAGGAGGCUCUCAGAAGCUGCUCUUGAGUUCAUCUACUAGUGAUUUAGGAACUUUCACCACUAAGCCAAGUUUUACUGCCUGUGCAAAUUUCUGGAGGACAGGAAACUGACCUUUGAAGAGUUUGUAAGUAAACCAUUUUUAGUUUACCAAACAUGGGUUUUUUUCCCCUCUGCUGGGGGAAGAGGGAAAUUUUGGAUCUCACAGGGGGCAUAUUUUAAAGGUCUAACAGCCUAUAUUUCACUCUGUUGCAUGUCUCUGCUAGGGUUCUCUCACCAAAGUACAUAUUCCAAACAUGGGUCUUGGCAUCCAGGAAUUCUCCUUUUAUAUACCUAUUUUUUCCCCUUUGCACCAACACAGAUGGCAGCAGAAAUUGUUCUUUGUAGUUUAUCCAUUGACUUAUUUGGGGUUUUACUAGUGCAAGUGCAAUUCUGAAUAAUAAUAAUAAUAAUAAUAAUAAUAAUAAAUAAUAAUAAUAAUAAUAAUAAUAAUAAUAAUUUAUUAUUUAUACCCCGCCCAUCUGGCUGAGUUUCCCCAGCCACUCUGGGCGGCUUCCAAUCAAGUGUUAACAACAAUACAGCAUUAAAUAUUAAAAAUUUCCCUAAUCAAAUCCUCAUGAACUGAAAACCACAAAAAGGGUUUUUGUGUGUGCCAUUGUUAUGUGAAUAGGAAGUAAUCUCCAGCCCAGGGAGCACACAGUAGUAGGUGUGUGUGUGUGUGUGAGAGAGAGAGAGAGAGAGGGGAGGGGAGAGAGAGAGAGAGAGGUAAGGCUUCACCUGUUAGAUUUCGGACUGCCAUGUCCCCAAGCUGCUAACAGGAUAGGAGCCUUGCCUGAGCAAAAUGGGACACUAGAAUAGGCCUGUUACGUUGGCCAAUGUCAAGAGGCUCUGUGCCUUUAACUGCUGUGGGACAGGCACCAAUUCAACAGGUGUAGCCUUUCCCUUCAUUAUGCCAGGAGAAGCUCCAGCUGUUUGCUUUGUACUUGUGAUGAGGCUUGUCAGCUCUAUAAGCCCCUGUAGUCUAGACUGAAGCUUCAGAAAUCCUUUGGACCUCUCCAGUACCUUUUCAGGCAGAAAUCCUACAAAAACACUCCUGCGUUCACCCCCCUUCCCCAUCUGGUAAAAAACAAGAGCUGGCCCCAGCUGGCUGUUUGUGGUUUGGCCUGGGAUGGGUGGAGGCCUGUUGGCUAGGAGAGCUAUUUAUCUAGCACAUUUUGGGACGUUUCCACGAUUCUUCUUCCUCUUUUUUUUAGCAUGCCAAAGCUGUGGCUGUCAAGUGAGGGAAGAAAAGAGACUUUUCUUGGUGUAAACAGCAUGCCACAGCACACUGCCGCAGCCGCGAGCUUAGCACGAGAGGAGGAUAAAACUGGGAGUGGUGGAAUUGGGGUUUCUUUCUCAAAAAUAUUAUUCGG
Non-coding RNA from Podarcis lilfordi (Lilford's wall lizard), 1436 nucleotides. The record is from the annotation of a GenBank genome assembly. Lineage: Eukaryota; Metazoa; Chordata; Lepidosauria; Squamata; Lacertidae.